This 568-nucleotide unclassified non-coding RNA is filed under the name Hevea brasiliensis (rubber tree). The record is from RNAcentral. Lineage: Eukaryota; Viridiplantae; Streptophyta; Magnoliopsida; Malpighiales; Euphorbiaceae.
GAUUGAAGAUCGUGGACUGAAACGGGCUGCAGUUACCAAUGCACCUAGACUAAACGCUGAACUGAUAAUAGAAAUACUUGGCCUAAAGGAUUUCUUUGAUGUAGUUAUUAUCGGAAGUGAGUGUGAGCGUGCAAAACCAUCUCCUGACCCUUACUUGAAGGCCCUUGAACUGCUUAAGGUGUCUAAGGAGCACACGUUCAUAUUUGAGGAUUCUGCUUCCGGAAUAAAAGCUGGGGUUGCAGCUGGGAUGCCUGUUGUUGGGUUGGCAACUCGAAAUCCACCUCACAUACUAAUGGAAGCAAAACCUGCUUUUCUUAUUAAAGAUUAUGAAGAUUCGAAGCUAUGGGCAGCUCUAGAGGAAAUAGACAAAAAGUCAGGUGCCACAACAACUACUGUCUGAGACGUUCACAUACUAGGUGAAAGAUCUGUUAUUGUUGUUGAGUUAAUUGAACUUUUGCUUCAUUGAAACCUUGUAUUUUUUUUCAUAAAAGAGGGAAAUGGUACUAUCAUUAUUUUUCUUCCGUAUAAUCGGAUGUACUAGUUUCCAACAGUUGAUAUUGAUCUAAAG